RNAcentral lists this transfer RNA (64 nucleotides) under Cryptocercus maluogouensis. RNAcentral describes it as "tRNA-His". The record is from RNAcentral. Lineage: Eukaryota; Metazoa; Arthropoda; Insecta; Blattodea; Cryptocercidae.
GCUUAAAUAGUUUAAUAAAAAAUGUUGACUUGUGGUGUCAUUGAUAUAAUAUUUAUUUUAGGUU